Molecule: ribosomal RNA, 1960 nt
Filed under: human gut metagenome
Description: bacterial LSU rRNA
Rfam family: Bacterial large subunit ribosomal RNA
Source: RNAcentral
UCAAGCUACUAAGGGCAUACGGCGGAUGCCUAGGCGCCAUCAGCCGAUGAAGGACGCGGUAAGCUGCGAAAAGCUACGGGGAACUGCAAGCAAGUAUUGAUCCGUAGAUGUCCGAAUGGGGAAACCCACCUGCCGUCAUGGGCAGGUAUCCGAAAGGAAGGGAACCCGGGGAACUGAAACAUCUAAGUACCCGGAGGAAGAGAAAUCAAACGAGAUGCCCACAGUAGCGGCGAGCGAAGAGGGCAGAGGGCAAACCGGGGAGCUACGGCUCUCCGGGGUUGAGGACUGCAUUUAGUCUUAAUGGUCUAUCCGAACUACCUGGAAAGGUAGGCAACACAGUGUAAAAGCCACGUAGGUUAAAGACCAGAGAGAUGAGCAGUAUCCAGAGUACCACGAGGCACGAGGAAUCUUGUGGGAAGCCGGGGGGACCACCCUCCAACCCUAAACACUGAAUGGCGACCGAUAGCGCAUAGUACCGUGAGGGAAAGGUGAAAAGAACCCCGGGAGGGGAGUGAAAGAGAACCUGAAACCGUAUGUCUACAAGCAGUCGGAGCGAAAGCGACGGCGUGCCUAUUGAAGAAUGAACCAACGAGUUACGUGCACUAGCGAGGUUAAGUGGAAGACACGGAGCCGAAGCGAAAGCGAGUCUUAAGAGGGCGGAUAGUUAGUGUACGUAGACCCGAAACCGCAGUGAUCUACCCAUGUCCAGGUUGAAGCGCAGGUAAAAUUGCGUGGAGGACCGAACCUGUGAGCGUUGAAAAGCUUUAGGAUGAGAUGUGGGUAGAGGUGAAAUUCCAAUCGAACGCGGAGAUAGCUGGUUCUCCCCGAAAUAGCUUUAGGGCUAGCCUCAAGUAGUAAGUAUAGGCGGUAGAGCACUGAUCGGGCUAGGGGCCAUAAAGGUUACCGAACCCUGUCAAACUCCGAAUGGUUAUACUGUAGAGCUUGGGAGUCAGACUACGAGUGAUAAGAUCCGUGGUCAAAAGGGAAACAGCCCAGACCACCAGCUAAGGUCCCCAAUGUCGUACUAAGUGGAAAAGGAUGUGGGGUCUCUAAAACAACCAGGAUGUUGGCUUAGAAGCAGCCACCAUUUAAAGAGUGCGUAAUAGCUCACUGGUCGAGAGACCCUGCGCCGAAGAUUACCGGGGCUAAAGUACGAAACCGAAGCUGUGGCUACGACGUAAGUCGUGGGGUAGGGGAGCGUUCUGUGAGGGCUGAAGUCGUUCUGUAAGGAACGGUGGACUUCACAGAAGUGAGAAUGUUGGUAUGAGUAGCGAAAAGAAUGGUGAGAAUCCAUUCCACCGAAAGCAUAAGGAUUCCUGGGCAACGAUCGUCGUCCCAGGGUAAGUCGGGACCUAAUCCGAGGCAUAGAGCGUAGGAGAUGGACAACUGGCAGAUAUUCCAGUACCGGUAAUGAUUGUUUGAGCGAUGGAGUGACACAGGAGGGCAGGCAGGCAGGAGAUUGGUUGUUCCUGUACAAGCGUGUAGGAUGGGUUGUAGGCAAAUCCGCAACCUGUGAGUCUGAGGCGUGAUGUGGAGGUUCCGGAAACGGAACUGAAGCUGCUGACCCCACACUGUCGAGAAAAGCUUCUAGUUAGAGAAUUACCGCCCGUACCGUAAACCGACACAGGUAUGCGGGGAGAGAAUCCUAAGGUGCGCGGGAGAACCCUCGUUAAGGAACUCGGCAAAAUGUACCCGUAACUUCGGGAUAAGGGUAGCCGCUGUUGUGAAGUCUGAACAGACGGAGCAUGAGGCGGUCGCAGAGAAGAGGCCCAAGCGACUGUUUACCACAAACACAGGUGCCUGCUAAAGAGAAAUCUGACGUAUAGGUGCUGACACCUGCCCAGUGCCGGAAGGUUAAGGAAGGAUGUCCGGAGCAAUCCAAAGCAUUCGACCGAAGCCCCGGUGAACGGCGGCCGUAACUAUAACGGUCCUAAGGUAGCGAAAUUCCUUGUCGGGUAAG